CAGCAGCCGCGGUAAUACGGAGGGUGCAAGCGUUAAUCGGAAUUACUGGGCGUAAAGCGUGCGUAGGCGGUCCGUUAAGUCUGUUGUGAAAGCCCCGGGCUCAACCUGGGAAUGGCAAUGGAUACUGGCGAGCUAGAGUGUGUCAGAGGAUGGUGGAAUUCCCGGUGUAGCGGUGAAAUGCGUAGAGAUCGGGAGGAACAUCAGUGGCGAAGGCGGCCAUCUGGGACAACACUGACGCUGAGGCACGAAAGCGUGGGGAGCAAACAGGAUUAGAUACCCCCGUAGUCCCUGUCUCUUAUAA
Molecule: ribosomal RNA, 301 nt
Filed under: uncultured bacterium
Lineage: Bacteria
Description: partial 16S ribosomal RNA
Rfam family: Bacterial small subunit ribosomal RNA
Source: RNAcentral